GAUGAAGAACGUAGCGAAAUGCGAUACUUGGUGUGAAUUGCAGAAUCCCGUGAACCAUCGAGUCUUUGAACGCAAGUUGCGCCCGAAGCCAUUAGGCCGAGGGCACGCCUGCCUGGGCGUCACACGUCGUUGCCCCCCCGUCUACUCCUUCGGGAUUGCGGGGGGCGGAUGAUGGCCUCUCGUGCGCCUCGUCGCGCGGUUGGCCUAAAUGCCAAGUCCUCGGCGACGCACGCCACGACAAUCGGUGGUUGCGAAACCUCGGUUGCCUGUCGUGUGCGGUCGUCGCGCAUCGAGGGCUCGAAAAAAUUGCCGGGCUUCGGCUCGACUUUCAACGCGACCCCAGGUCAGGCGGGGUUACCCGCUGAAUUUAAGCAUAUCAAUAAGCGGAGGA
Molecule: unclassified non-coding RNA, 391 nt
Filed under: soil metagenome
Description: partial contains 5.8S ribosomal RNA, internal transcribed spacer 2, and large subunit ribosomal RNA
Rfam family: 5.8S ribosomal RNA (bases 1-122)
Source: RNAcentral